ACAUGAUAGAAUAGUAUCAUUCACUGUAACAAUUGUUUACUGUUUUUCAUCAGGGUUUAAGUGACAGGUACGUUGCUCAGACUGCAGUUUCCUGAUCCUUCUUCACCCUCUUGAGGCAGCUUUUUCCAAAUACUUCUGUCAUACUGGUGGUAGCACUUAUGCCAUUACAUGAUCAACUAGAUUAGGAAACUGAUCUGGUUUUGAAAAGAUCUUGGGUGAAAGAGUGCUUCAGCUUUCAUCUGACUCACCUUGUCCAGCUUGUGGGCUGACAAUGGGACUGCUCCCUUGGGUGGCAAAAGGGCUACAAGAGUUUAUGGGAAGAAUGGGACUGUCCUUUGCAGCAGCAGUUUGGGCUUAGUUUGCAUGGUUUGGAAUCCAUGUGUUUCAUCUGCUAGUGAGAAGGCAGUGCUAGCUGUGAAGGGUUUUGUAGUGUGAACUUCUGUGUGCUGGGGCUUACGGAGUAGAAGAGGAACCAACUGGCAGUCAAAUUGAAACAGCUCCGGGCUGGAGUUGACCCAGUGGUUUGGUAGGAAAAACUAUUUUUUCCUCAUAUGAUUUAUUCAUAGAGAUCUGUAUAAGUGCAGAAAUGUAUGUGUUCUUGUAUCCUGAUCAUGGCAGGAUUAUUUGAAAGCAUUGGUUUUAUAAUGAUGGAUUGCUAUAGACAUUUUGGGCAUCUUUUCCAAACACUAUUAAGCCUUGGGUUUCUUCAGGCUGUUCAUUUUGUGAUUAAAGUAUUUUAUGUGUAAGGUAAUCUCUCUAAUAAUAAUUCUCAGUUUUGUUAGAACUGCAUAGGCCUUUGCAUGUCACUGCAACAAUCCUUGUGAUUUGUUCUUGAUUCAUUUUCACAGACUGCUAGCUUUGGGCAACCAAAUAAUAUUCCCACUCCACAGGAAGCACUGGAUUUCCUUGUGUGGAAUGCUGUGUAGCAUAGUGAAAAAAGUGUCUUAAAAUAAUGUAACAGAGUACUGACAGCUACUUCUGUCAGUGCUGCUGUGUAAAGGUGGUGCUGGAACAACUGCAUCAGAACAGGUAAUGGCAUCUGUGAGUUUACAGUAAAUUGUCUUUUUUGCAAGUAAGGAGAUAGAAAACAGUCUUGUGACCCAGAAGCUACUGUGAGCAAGUUAGAACUGUUGUAUUCUUUGCAGUAUGUGCAAAAUUGGGAUGGGGAACAUUUUGAACCUAAAUAACAUGUUAAGUAGGUGGCUGUUCUUCUAUCAAUACUAUUUAUCAUCUGCUUUCCCACUUCAAAACUGAAUUCCAGGAAAUCUGCCUGUGAUUCAAGUAAUACAGCAUCAUGACAUCAGAGUAGGCUUUUUUGUGUUGUCAGUAACGUCUUUUUUCCACUCCUUCUUGAUCAGAUCUGAAUUGCUUUCCCGGGAGGUAAAUUGAGAUUAAGUGAUAUAAAAUGCCUCUGAGGACCCUGGAGUCACGCAGCAAAAGUGUUUACUGUGCCUGAAUCACUUCUUUAUAUCUGAGAAAUCCAUUGACUCAUGCCAUGUAUUUUCUGUUUUGGAGAUUAUAUUCAAUUGCAGCUUCUGAUGAAUUUGAAAGUAGUAUCAGCUAUGCAUGCAUAAAUAGGCCAGGUGCUCUGGGGAAACCAGCAUGCAUCAUUUGCAUAGCAUAUUGCCCACCAGGACCCCUAGAUAUCACAGUAAAACUGUAAAGAACCAUGCAGGUUCUUCAGGAUUCUGUUAUUCAAGAGCCUUCAGACUCUUGCUAAACUGUGGUUCCUGACUUAGUGGAGAACAGACUUGCCUUUUCAAGAGACCGUGGCAGUUGUUUCAACCAGUCUUCAAAAAUUAUGAUUAGACUGACUUCUAAGAACUAGAUUAAUUUGAUUGGAUCGUGUUUAGUGUGCUGAUAAUGCAUUCUGGAAGUCACUGAGGAGUAGAGAGACUGGAGACAAUAUACUGAGUGAUGGUCUUCAUCUUGCACAUGAGCAAUAGGAAUCUGUGGUUGAUGAGCAGUCCAGUCAGUACUGAGAUACUAGAGCCUCUGGUUCCACUGGCAUUGCUGUCUAACGUAAGUCUUUCCUGUAUGCUGAAAAGGUGAGUCCUGUACCUUCCAUCCUUGUUUUGAUGCUAAUGAUUGUACACAUAGAUGAUAAUGAAAGAGCUAAUUGGAAGGAAAAUCCAUUGCUCUUUUUUUGCGGGGCCACUGGAGUCAGCGUGAGAAUGACGGAAGUGAAUGUGGGAAGGCAGAACCGCACCCUUCAUUACUGUUGAAGGUUUCGGCAGGAAGAAGUAGAAACUAAUAACGUUCAAUGAUUGAAUUCUUCUCCCCUCCCCCUAUGAACUGAGCAUGGAUGUAAAACAGGUCAAAGCUGCUGGUAGUUUCCUUGUGUGUCAGAGCUUUGUUACUGAGCAAGUGAGUGCAGGUUUUUACUGUCAGGAAACUAAAAAUUUCUGCAAACCCGUACUGAUAUUCGGUCUGUCCAGGCGUUCCCCCCCACAGCUUUUCGCUAUAUUUUCCAUUUGAGAAGAGAGGAGGAUGGUUUAUGGUGAUCAGCAAUCCUUUAUGGCUGCUUCUGAGGCAGCAGCAUUUUACACAAAUUGAAGCAGUGACUUUGACCUUACAAAAUAAAUCAAUGACCAGUACUCACAGCUCCUCCUGAUUGUAAUGCACUGAUUGAUGUACUGAUGCUCAGUGUAUCACAAAAUCAGAAUGCUUAGUAGCCUUUCUGUUUUGCAUCUGUCUUACUGAGAGGCUAUAUUUAACAGGAAGGGUGUCAUUAUCAACUUGAUCUUUUUAAAUAAAACACAGUAUUUGAUAUUCUUUUGAACCUCAGUGUUAAUGAUUUCUGCAUGCUUCAUUAAGAAAAAAAAAACAGUUCUUUAAAUAGCUCCUGUAAAACCAGCUUCUCUUCAGCAAAAGAAUGUUGUGGCUGUUUUCUGUGUUACAGUUUCUGUGGAGCUAAUGAAGGCAAGGGCACACUACUGGCUUCUGUUUGGCUUGGUGUCCACCAGGACUCCCAGGCCCUUAUCUGCAAAGUAGCUUUCAGCCUGGUGCAUACAUUUCAUACUUUCAGCAUACAUUGGUGCAUGUGUUAAUUUUCUUUCAGCUUCAUAGGCUUGGUGUUAAAUGACAUUUAAAAUUUUUUGUUUAUUUUUUUUUUUAGCAGGUUAGGUGCUACUGUGGUAGUGAUAAAAUGAAUUUUAAUUAACUUUUCAGCAUAGGUGUGAUGACUUCUCAAAUUUCACUUUAACGUAAUGAUUUGUAAGCCUUGCUCAAGUGAAGAAUGUCUGAGGACAUUGUGAAUAUCCAAGUAAACAUCAACGCCAGAUUACGGGCUUUUAUUACCUGUGGUAAUUCAAUUGAAAUCCGUGGCUUGUUAACUGAGCUGUACUGAUUCUGAGGGAAGAUGAAAUAGUGCCCAUGUAGAUUUCUGUUGUGUUGAUAAAUUGCUACAAAAGGGAUUUCUGCUGUCAGUGGAUCAAAUACAAAGACAAAAUUUAUUUCCUUCAUGUAACAGUGUAUCGUAUUAGACAUCCUGAGGAAAACGAAGUUAAAUAUUAGUAAAGUAUGUUCUGCACAUAA
Pezoporus flaviventris is the source of this 3537-nucleotide long non-coding RNA. RefSeq lists it as uncharacterized. Lineage: Eukaryota; Metazoa; Chordata; Aves; Psittaciformes; Psittacidae. The transcript has 2 exons. The record is from RefSeq and is a predicted model, not a curated record.